CUGCAGCCCGAGUGGUGACCGAUAUUAUUGAGCCUAAAGCGUCCGUAACCGGUCUGGUAAAUUCUUGGGUAAAUCGGGCAGCUUAACUGUCCGACUUCCGAGGAGACUGCCAGACUUGGGACCGGGAGAGGUCAGAGGUACUCCAGGGGUAGGGGCUAAAUCCUGUAAUCCUUGGGGGACCACCAGUGGCGAAGGCGUCUGACUAGAACGGAUCCGACGGUAAGGGACGAAACCCUGGGGCGCAAACCGGAUUAGAUACCCGAGUAGUCC
Molecule: ribosomal RNA, 270 nt
Filed under: uncultured archaeon
Lineage: Archaea
Description: partial 16S ribosomal RNA
Rfam family: Archaeal small subunit ribosomal RNA
Source: RNAcentral